Molecule: long non-coding RNA, 2419 nt
Organism: Onychostoma macrolepis
Lineage: Eukaryota; Metazoa; Chordata; Actinopteri; Cypriniformes; Cyprinidae
Exons: 3
Source: RefSeq, a predicted model, not a curated record
GAAAAAGAAGGAAGAUAUGAGCAAUAUACUACAGGUAUAAGCACAAGUUAUUGUGGAUUGUAUGGUGCUGCAAUUAGACACAUGCACAUCUCUACAUUCCCUUCCUUUGUUUAUGCCACAAAGCUAUAGAUUGUCGGAUUUUUCUAAUUUGUAACGUCAGCCAAGCGAGAGCCAUAAACAAUCUGAUUUAUUCCAUGCAAACAUUGUGCACUAAAUAAUACUGAAAUACCACAGUACAGAUUCUUGCAUUAUUCACCGAUCUUAAACACAUGCACAAGCACUUCAGAUUUUACAUAAUUAUUUCAUAAUACAUAAUUCACACCACAGAAUUUGAAACUGGGUUGAAUAUCUCGUGCAAAUUCAGAUCCAUCAAACCAAAAAAAAGUUUUCUCACUAGUUCACUAGGGUACCUGUUAACACAAGGCUGAACCCAGUUAUUAAUCAGUACAUUUAAUAAGUCCUCCUUUCCAAUCUGACAGGAAAAAAACAGAGCUGGGGAGAGAAACAGUCCUUUGUGUUCAGUAAACAAAUCUAGCUCAGCAAGUCUUGGUUAUUUCCUGUAAAACCAGAUAAAUUGUGAUUUCUAGUUUAAUUCAGUUCAUCAGAAACACGAAAAAGCAGAGUUACCUUUGCCCAGGUAGCGUGACUUGUCAUUGUCUCUCAGCUCCAAUGCUUCAUAGAUUCCAGUAGACGCUCCACUAGGGACAGCAGCACGAAACAGACCUGUUUCAAAAUCACUAGGUACAGGUUUCUCAGGGGGCCUCCUGACAGCCAGCUGAUCCCCGUGUUCCUCCAUCCUCAUGCCUCACAAAUAAGACCUCAGGGAUCUCAUUAGCAAUCCACACACAGCUCUAAUCUAAUGAUGAGCGCUAGAAAGGAGAGUAACACUGAAUACAGAGGAGAGGAAGCUUAUUCUUGUCUGUUGCCCUGCAGUCUGACCCAGAACAAGAGAGACGGAGGAUGGGGCGUGGUCUUUUUGAAGGUUAAAAGCUUGUCUCAUUUGUGUACUCAGAAACCCUGAGGCACUUCCACAUUAAACUAACCAAUCACAGAACACAAGACACACCUGCUCUUAGAAGAAGGCCAGGGAUUGGUCCCAGCGUAAAAAUGACACCUGGGCAGGGCUCCAAGGUGUACCUGAAAACCUAGAUGUUUUGUAGGAACAGUUUCUUCGCUUCAGGAGCUUUAGGAGAAUGUGUUUCUUCUCAUGCUUGAGACUCCAUUACUAUUGUCUAUGCGACUUCAUCAGGUAUCUUUAGACCGGUUCGAGAGGUUUGGCCUAACGUGGAACGAGCAAUCAUACCUUUAACAAGUGGAAGGAGCAGGAAGUGAUCUUCCUCAGCUAAAGCGACACUGCGACACAAUGGCAUCUCUUGUUCGGGACUCCAUACUGAAUGACGGCAACAGGAAUUCAUAGGGUAACUAAUAGUUGUUUUAUUUUAAUCUUUUUUUUUUUUUUUUUUGAAUAUGUUCAACAAUUUGAUUAAAUAAUUACAACAACAAAAAAAUCAAUUGCAAAAAAAAAAAGUUUUUAUAUGUAUCUCAGGUCAUAUAUAAUAUUAUAGUUUACUAUUAGUAAAUGCUAAUAGUAAACUAUUAAAAAGCACAAUGAGAUGGAAAAAAGAGAAAUUAUUUUUUAGAUAAACAAAAUCUUCCUUUCAUUCUUUCAUGUAAAAAUCAAGUAUGAAUUUUAGUCUGAAAUAUGGAUAAUUAAGAUUUGUGAAACAUAAAGGACUAUGAGUGCCCAGCAUGUUAACUUUCACUUCCGUAGUGUGUCAAACCUGUUUGAUCAGUUUAAAACAAAGGGGGUAUGAAGUAGAAAAUGUAAAGCAUUAAAAUAAAUUAUGUUCAGCAAUGCAACAAAAGUUUUUAAUGUUAUAAUAUAAGGUGGUUUGUACAAAUUAAACAUAAAUUAGACUUGUUGCAUUUGAGAAACUAUUUAUAAACUUUAAAAAUUGGUUGAUACAUGGACACACGCUCAUGAAAUCUGAGUGCUGAUACAAUCUCAUACACACAAUUUUUCGUCUCUUCACUUGAAAGUGUUCUAAUAAAAAGUUAUAAGGAAGAGAAAAUGUAACCUUAAUUGAUCUUGUGAUCUUGAUUGAUACUGUGAGCUUUAAGCAACUAUAGAGCCAAAAUGUAAAAACUUACUUAGCUUGGUUUCAGUAGUAAGUGAGUUAUCUAAUCUAAUCUUAUCUAAUCUAUUGUACAGGUGAGGGGUCAGUCAGGUGCACACUCAGGUAUAGGUGACAAAGAUCAGCCAUUUUGAUUAGCAUGACUAAGCGCUUUCCUUACCACCUAUGUUGUGUGGCUGUUAUGGGAUUUGGUGGCUGUAGACACAAUUUUGUUUUGAUGAAGGUGCGACCAAUUAGUCAAACUCUCCCAGGUCAUGGAGACGUCUCAGAGGUCAUGGUUUCCA